CAUAAUUCAGGUCUGACGGGGUUCGUCUGAAUUAAUUCGUCUCAAAUGUAAUAAUGUCCUAUCUAUAUUUCACAACCUUUUUUGUAGAUACGACACAAUGCGUGUCCAACCAAUCCAGGCUAAUAGUCUUGGAAAUAUGUGUAGCUAACAAUUUAAAAUGCUUGUAACCUAUAGUCUAUAUACAGUAGGUGUCACAUGGACUGACUUUGACAAAAGAGGUUUAACGUGUUACUACCUUACCUGAUGUUUUUACAGUUACAAACAAUGACCACUCAAUGGCGAGCUUUCAAAACGUCAAGGAGGAUUCAUGCUGAAGUUAUGCUUCUUUAUAUAAUAGUGUGCCAGUAUGGGUGCAGUGAGGGGGUGGCAGAGACAGCGACUGGUUCCACCAUCACAGCGAAAGUGGGGGAGAGCAUCACGUUUCCUUUCUCUGCUGAGGGCAGCCAAAGCUACACCGCUGACCUACUUUUUAAUAAUACAUUUACAAUCGUUACAUGGAUUCCUCCACAAUUCAUUCAUGUACGAGAACAAUAUAAGGGAAGGGUCAGCAUUGGCAAUGACUCGAUAUGGCUGAAAAAAUUGAGCCUAUCAGAUUCUGGUUUUUAUCAAGUUAAAAUUGAGUAUACAUCUGUAGGUUUUAAGCCGCUGGAGCACACAUACUUUCACCUGCAGGUUUUUGAGCCCGUCUCUAAACCCAGCAUCACAGCUGAGUGCCUGGGGAGUAAUGUAUGUCUGAGCUGCUUCAGCAGUCAGGGGACUGCAGUGACUUACAGCUGGGAAACUCUGCCCCCUUGUGGUAAUGACAGCUGUAUGCACCUGGGCCAAGCGAUAGACCUCCAGUUGCAAGCCCUCUCUCCAUCCACAACAUACAUGUGUACAGCCCAUAACCCUGUCAGCAGAGCCACCAGCGAUUCUGUUGAUCUGGAAAUGUGCUUCCCGCAAGGAUCACAAGUUCGAUGGGUUCCAGCCUUGUGUGCCGCAUCAGCAUUCCUCGCCUUCGGAGCACCAAUACUGGUGCUGUACACGAGGAGAAAGCACAAACAGUAUAAAAGUGAAACAAUUCAAGUGGAAGUUGAUUAGCCGCUCAUGGAAGAGGAGCCACCAUCCGCAGUGCCUUCCAUUGAUCCAGUAUAUGUCAGCACGCUUUGUUCAAGUUAUCUCAGGGGCAACUGAGGGGACCUCUGCAUGGACUAAAUAUUCAAGCAUUAUAUAGAUAGGAAAAAGGAAAGCCAAUGGGGAAUGUGAAGACCUGUUGAAAUUAAACUAUAACAAACCUUAAAUCAAGGAAUAGAAAUCCUAACAUUCUAGCAGGUUCUUGCUAAUGAUACCUUAAAGAGGUAAUUCGGCUCAUUGGUGAGAAGUCAUCUCUUAUUGAAAUGACUCAAAGAUAAAUCAUUGCUGGCUACUGAAACGAAGGAAGCUAAUGAAUUCUGUUCUCAUUUUAUUUUACCUCCUGCGAUCUUUGCAUUUCAACCAUGUAAAUCACUCUGGAUAACAUUACAUUACAUUACAGGCAUUUGGCAGACGCUCGUAUCCAGAGCGAUGUACAGCAAAGUGUAUAACCAUAACCAGGAACAAGCAUGACGAAACCACUAGAGAGAAGUACCGGUCCAAGUGCAGGGAACAACCGCAAAGUUCAACUUGAACCCUGAAGGUUAAACUGAUUAACACUAAACAACGAGAACGGCAGUGCUUGAAAAAAAAGAAAAUAUUUGUCAAUUUAGUGAUGUUCAUUUGGUAAUUUCUUAUUUUACCUACACCUACGAAACAGCUGCCUAGUUACAACCCUAAGCUUACAGUCAUUUACAGGGGGGUAGGGAGGGAUGGGGAGAGGUGCAGCCUCAGAUAAGAAUUUCUGCUUAAUCAAAGAGCGAUAUUGUAAUGUAUAUUGGUGCUGCAUAGGUAUGGGACACAAUGCCCCACCAAGGCAUAACUUGCCAUCUAAUAUGUGCCAUCCAAAUCUGGAAACAUACUGUGCUAUUUUGUUUACGAAAGCAUUUACGCAUAAGUACUGUUAAAUUACUGACAACUGAAAUGUGUAAUUUAGCUUGAAAAAAAAGAAAAUAUUUGUCAAUUUAGUGAUGUUCAUUUGGUAAUUUCUUAUUUUAUUAAAGUAUUUUUAAAACAAUUUUUUUAUACAGCAUAAAACAUAAUUGUGGACAAAUUGAGAUUGGUUAAAGCUGCUGAGUUUUGUAAUAAAUUUUUUUUACAUUUUA
Long non-coding RNA from Anguilla rostrata (American eel), 2216 nucleotides. RefSeq lists it as uncharacterized. The transcript has 5 exons. The record is from RefSeq and is a predicted model, not a curated record. NCBI's taxonomy places the organism in Eukaryota, Metazoa, Chordata, Actinopteri, Anguilliformes, Anguillidae.